RNAcentral lists this long non-coding RNA (2644 nucleotides) under Homo sapiens (human). Its description in RNAcentral is "HSALNT0064246". The record is from RNAcentral. Lineage: Eukaryota; Metazoa; Chordata; Mammalia; Primates; Hominidae.
CAGGCUGCCGGAGCCAGCAGUGGCAACCGGAGUCCUUUUCCACACUGUGGAAGCUUUGUUCUUUUGCUCUUUGCAAUAAAUCUUGCUGCUGCUCACUCUUUGGGUCCACACUGCCUUUAUGAGCUGUAACACUCACCGUGAAGGUCUGCAGCUUUACUCCUGAAGCCAGCGAGACCACGAACCCACCGGCAGGAACGAACAACUCCAGACGCGCCGCCUUAAGAGCUGUAACACUCACCGCGAAGGUCUGCAGCUUCACUCCUGAGCCAGCGAGACCACGAACCCACCGGAAGGAAGAAACUCUGAACACAUCCGAACAUCAGAAGGAACAAACUCCGGACACGCCGCCUUUAAGAACUGUUAACACUCACCGCAAGGGUCCGCGGCUUCGUUCUUGAAGUCAGUGAGACCAAGAACCCACCAAUUCCGGACACAAGGGGAGCUGACUUUCAUUAUAAAGAUUUUCUCAUUGCAAAGUGAAAAAGAGAAUAAUAACUUUAAAACAAGGCAGAAAGUAAAGAGAACUGGAAGCGAGGAACAUGCUCUGAACUAGAACUGGCAACAUGAGAGAUGAGCUCAGGCUUCAAAAUGGUGUCUGCACUGGGUCUUGAAGGAAGAGCAGAGUUUGGGCAUUUAGAAACCAAGAAUUCCAGCCGGUUUCUUCAGACUGAUAACAAGAAUCAGCAAAAGUCUGAGAGCAGGAGUGCAGCUCAUUGGUACAGCAGCCAUAGUAAACAAGGAGGAAGGGAAUCCCUUCAUGAGGACAGGAGGGAAAGAAGGAGGAUUUACUUUAAACCUGUUGACAAGUCUCAGAGCAUGGUGCUGGCAUCUGGCAAGGGCCUUAUCCCAUGGCAGAAGGCAGAAGUGAGUACACAAGACAGAGGGAAGAAGGAGGCCAGACUCCCAAGAUGAAUGAACUAAUAUCUGAUGCUCAAGGAAACCAUAAAUGAUAAAAGGAUAAUGGGCUCGGCCUGAAGCCAACCGUGUAACUCUUUGGUAGAGACUCACUGGUAAUCACAGGCCAGCAGUCAAAUAAUCUGUUGCUCUGAUUCUCUGGAGUGUUGAUGGUGCCUGGUAAACCUUAGAGAAGCUUCCUUCGCACUCAUUUUUCAAGAGCUCCUCCUGGAGCAUCCCCACAGGGAAUUUUCCUACCAGUGACCUGUCUCCUGUCCCACCAUAUCCCGGGUCACUCUCCCAUGAUGGACAGUCAAGCAUCAGUUCUUGGAACAUUUCCCUACCAGCAGAGGGAACCCUCACCUUCAGAAAUGAAUGGCAGUAUCAUCAGAACAACCACCCAUAUGUUUUCCCAAAGCAAGACAUUGUGAGGUGUUAAGAGAUAUAUGCAGUAACAGAACUUCAGAAUGUUAGAGCCAUCUGGAAUAAAGACCGUAUUUCUCAGCCUCCCUUGCAGUAUGGAGAUGUUGCUGGACAAUGGCUGCCCCUUCAAGGACUAUUAUUUCCCAGCCUCUCCCCCUUGCAUCCAGGUAGACCCUGUUACCGAUGCAUGUCUACGUUACCUCUAGGAGACAGGUGGCUGACCCAUGCAUUGUACUGUAUGUCCACGGGCUUUCCAGGUUAAUUCUGCAUACGGGACAUAAUAAAAAGGCGCUUUUAGAGAGAGAGCUGGGCACUCUGUGGAGUUUCUUUAUAUGACCUGAGGCCUUACUCUAGUGGCACAGUUAAUACUGGUGAGAAUCACAAUAGACUAUAUUUGCAUUCAUCCUGGGGACAGCUUUGAAUUCACCCACACAUUGUAAUAAGUAGAACGUUUGCCCACAGAUUUCACAUUGCUCUAGUGUCUUAAUGAUCUUCCCCCAGUGCCUGUGAUAGACUUAAACAUAAUAGAAGCCAAUUUUGACUCGAAUUCAAUGUUCUCUGUAGGAGAGGAUGACUGAAGUUUAAUUAUAAUUCCUUUAUACCAAAUGUGUAUGCAUUCUCCAGCAUUUGAUGGGAUUCCUCCAAAAUUUCCAUCUCAAAAUCAGCCCAUCAGUAGAACAGUCACAUGCUGCCCAGUUAAUUAUAAUGGAAUGUGAUGGUUUGGGGCUGUAUUCCAAACAGAGCACCAUGACAUCUAUGCAAACAAGCUUCUGAAAAGCUAAUAAGACAAGGGUCUUUGUGCUAUUUCAAAUGUUUUUAUUUUGUUUUGUUUUUUCUCCUUAUGUAAAUAUGCCAAAGAUGGACUAACAAAAAAUGUUGGUUAUGUAGUUUUUUGUUACAUAUGUAGGCCAUUUCAUUUCCCCUCAUCUUCUCUGUUUCCUAUGUACAGCUAGGAAUAAAACUCACAGUUCUUCCAAGACUCAGAAGUUUAAGACAUAUUCUAGCACAUGGUGGAUUUAAAACAUAUUCACUGUUACUUUUGAAAAUUACAUUUUCCCAAUAUAAGUACCUUUUAGAAGAGUGCAUAAUGGACUUUGUAGUAAAGGCAAUAAUCAGUCUUUAUGUUUAUUUUGUGUCUCCUAAAUCACAGACCUGAAUAAAAGAUGCUACAUAGAAAACUGUAUUUCAUAAAUUAAAUUGAUACUUUGUGGAUUACUAUGUAUGUUUAACAUACAUGUAUGUGGAAGGGGAUGGUUGAAGGUGUAUUCCCCAAAUAAUACAACAGAGGGACUUUAACAGAGAAGGCAGGAGAAGUAUCAAUCUGAAU